This 77-nucleotide transfer RNA is filed under the name Cellulomonas flavigena DSM 20109. Its description in RNAcentral is "tRNA-Met". It matches the Rfam family "tRNA". From Rfam's summary of the family: Transfer RNA (tRNA) molecules are approximately 80 nucleotides in length. The record is from RNAcentral. Lineage: Bacteria; Bacillati; Actinomycetota; Actinomycetes; Micrococcales; Cellulomonadaceae.
GGGCCAGUAGCUCAGUCGGUCAGAGCAGCGGACUCAUAAUCCGUCGGUCGUGGGUUCGAGCCCCACCUGGCCCACCG